AGAGUUUGAUCCUGGCUCAGGAUGAACGCUAGCGGCAGGCUUAACACAUGCAAGUCGAGGGGCAGCGAGGGUAGCAAUACCUGUCGGCGACCGGCGCAAGGGUGCGUAACGCGUGAGCAACAUGCCCGUAUCAGGGGGAUAAUCCAGGGAAACUUGGUCUAAUACCCCAUAGUAAUGUUUUCAGGCAUCUGGAGAUAUUUAAAGCUUAGGUGGAUACGGAUUGGCUCGCGUGACAUUAGUUAGAUGGUAGGGUAAUGGCCUACCAUGACUAUGAUGUCUAGGGGUUCUGAGAGGAAGGUCCCCCACACUGGAACUGAGACACGGUCCAGACUCCUACGGGAGGCAGCAGUGAGGAAUAUUGGACAAUGGAUGGAAAUCUGAUCCAGCCAUGCCGCGUGCAGGAAGAAUGUCCUAUGGAUUGUAAACUGCUUUUGUAUGGGAGCAAUAAGGUCUUCGUGAAGGCCGAUGAGAGUACCAUACGAAUAAGCACCGGCUAAUYUCCGUGCCAGGCAGCCGCGGUAAUACGGAGGGUGCAAGCGUUAUCCGGGAUUUAUUGGGUUUAAAGGGUGCGUAGGCGGUUAUAUAAGUCAGCGGUGAAAUUUUUCAGCUUAACUGGAAACAUGCCGUUGAUACUGUAUAGCUUGAAUAUGGUUGCUGUGAGUGGAAUGUGUAGUGUAGCGGUGAAAUGCUUAGAUAUUACACAGAAUAUCGAUUGCGAAGGCAACUCACAAAGCCAUUAUUGACGCUGAGGCACGAAAGUGUGGGGAUCAAACAGGAUUAGAUACCCUGGUAGUCCACACUGUAAACGAUGAUAACUAGCUGUCGGCGAUAGAUAGUCGGUGGCCAAGCGAAAGCGAUAAGUUAUCCACCUGGGGAGUACGACCGCAAGGUUGAAACUCAAAGGAAUUGACGGGGGCCCGCACAAGCGGAGGAACAUGUGGUUUAAUUCGAUGAUACGCGAGGAACCUUACCCGGGCUCGAACGGUGCAGUAAUAUGGUAGAGAUAUCAUAGCUAGCAAUAGACUGUAUCGAGGUGCUGCAUGGUUGUCGUCAGCUCGUGCCGUGAGGUGUCGGCUUAAGUGCCAUAACGAGCGCAACCCUUGUCGUUAGUUACCAUCAAAUAAAGUUGGGGACUCUAGCGAGACUGCCACCGUAAGGUGUGAGGAAGGGGGGGAUGACGUCAAAUCAGCACGGCCCUUACGUCCGGG
This 1208-nucleotide ribosomal RNA is filed under the name uncultured bacterium. RNAcentral's name for it is "bacterial SSU rRNA". It matches the Rfam family "Bacterial small subunit ribosomal RNA", at positions 8 to 1212 of the family's 1533-position model. The record is from RNAcentral.